RNAcentral lists this ribosomal RNA (301 nucleotides) under uncultured bacterium. RNAcentral describes it as "partial 16S ribosomal RNA". It matches the Rfam family "Bacterial small subunit ribosomal RNA", at positions 509 to 807 of the family's 1533-position model. The record is from RNAcentral.
CAGUCGCCGCGGUAAUACGAAGGGGGCUAGCGUUGUUCGGAAUUACUGGGCGUAAAGCGCACGUAGGCGGAUAUUUAAGUCAGGGGUGAAAUCCCGCAGCUCAACUGCGGAACUGCCUUUGAUACUGGGUAUCUUGAGUAUGGAAGAGGUAAGUGGAAUUCCGAGUGUAGAGGUGAAAUUCGUAGAUAUUCGGAGGAACACCAGUGGCGAAGGCGGCUUACUGGUCCAUUACUGACGCUGAGGUGCGAAAGCGUGGGGAGCAAACAGGAUUAGAUACCCCAGUAGUCCCUGUCUCUUAUAC